UACGUAGGGGUCGAGCGUUGUCCGGAGUUACUGGGCGUAAAGCGCGCGCAGGUGGCUCAUUACGCCCGGCGUGAAAGCCCCCGGCUCAACCGGGGAGGGUCGUCGGGGACGGGUGAGCUUGAGGGUAUCAGGGGCUGGUAGAAUUCCCGGUGUAGUGGUGAAAUGCGUAGAGAUCGGGAGGAAUACCCGUGGCGAAGGCGGCCAGCUGGGAUACACCUGACACUGAGGCGCGAAGGCGUGGGGAGCGAACGGG
This 253-nucleotide unclassified non-coding RNA is filed under the name uncultured Thermomicrobiales bacterium. Its description in RNAcentral is "contains 16S-23S intergenic spacer region". It matches the Rfam family "Bacterial small subunit ribosomal RNA", at positions 524 to 776 of the family's 1533-position model. Lineage: Bacteria; Pseudomonadati; Thermomicrobiota; Thermomicrobia; Thermomicrobiales. The record is from RNAcentral.